CUCAGCAGGUGCUAGUUGCUGGAAUUUGGAGGGCUACAACCUGGGCUUUGGUGCACACCUUCACUGAGCAUUAUGCUCUGGACUUGGCCUCCAGAGGGAUCACUGGGUUUAGCAAGGCAGUGCUUCAGUCUAUUCAACAAAGACUUUGUUCCUGCCUCCAGGCUGGAGCACAACAUUCUCUCCCCUGAUAAAUUGCAACACUUAAUGGAGAGGACACUUAGGAACUGGGCUGGGAUGAGGAGCUGAUUGUCCCAUUAUGGUACGCAGACUCUGGAGACAAAGGGAAAGAGGCAAAUCAGAGGAUAAUCUCAGGAUGAUAGGUUCACUGGCUGUGAAGGAAUGGAGUGUAUCUUCCGCUUUAACUGGUGUUAGCAGUACAUUAAUAGGAGAACUUCAACGAGGAGCAUGGGGGAAGACAAGCAGCAAAAAGGAGUAUUGUUAUGCUGGGUUCCAACCUGGAAUUGGGCAAUUUUGUUUCAGGAAGCAAUGAAACCUUUCAAGUAUUUGAGGCACUAGAUGCUCCUGACAGGAUGUCUAGAACUCGCUGUAAAAGCCAUUCUGGUCCUACAGCCUGCUCUAAGAUGGAGCCAAUCUUACAAAGAGAAUGAGAUGGCCAGCAGCUUCCACAAGGGGAAAGUUUGCGCCUCAUGGAUAUGGUCAUGUUGGAGUAUUGCACAAGUGUAAGUUAGUGGGGUCUGGGAACCAAAAAAGCAAGGGGAGCUCCAGAUACUCCGAUGAAGGAUUUAUUUCACCAUUGUCUAAACUGUCAAAGCUCAGGUAGACAACUCGUCAGGUGCCAUUGUGGGAACCAAGCAAUCACUUUGUCCAAUUACUGUUUCACUUCAGGUGUAGGACAGCCUAGGCAGCAUUGUUCUUCCCAGUGUAACCAAAGGUGGAGACCAUCCCUGUAGCAAAAAUCUUAACCCUGAGAGACUGAAUCAGUACGACUCCAUUGCAUUUUUCCUUCUUCCUCCCUCCGUAAAAGUGUUGCUGCCUUUGAAGCACUACUGUCUCUAAAGAGGCACUUAUAGUUCAAAGAAAACAGAACAUCUAGACUGACUGAGUCACGCAUGUUCUAAAAAGGAAAGGAUACAUCAGUAAUGGUGUCACUGAUGGGAAGGGACAGGGCUGACCAGGUGGGGCUUACCUCUGACCGGCUCCAGCACUUACACAGCGCCUCCUGCCCGUGCAGCAGGCUUGCCCUGAAGUCCUACCCCGGUACAGGUAAUUUGCGGUACUAUAUGAGAGAGGCAGGCGUAGGGCCGCUUUUCCUACAGCGCGCCAGCCCAGCCACCUCUCCUCUCACGGGGACUGGGUCCCGGCGCCGCGGCCAUUUAAGGGUCCCGGCCCCGCCCCCUCCCAGCUGGGAGGGGCGGGGCUCGGCGCACAAAGCCGGAAGCGGCCCACGCGCGAGUGGCGGAGGCUGCUGCAGCACCCGGAGCUCCUGAAGAGGAGUGAGCGGAGCGCGUCCAGCGGCGGCCGGCCGGCCUGGAGGGGCAGACACAGCCACGGCCGCCGCCGCCUCUCCGCUUACCCGGCCUUUUACUCUCUUCCAGGCGCGCCUCCGCCCCCGGUGUGGCGGACGCGAACACAGUCCAGUGCUGCUUGGCCCUUAGCCCUAGCGCAUGCUGCUUUUCAUCUCCGAUGCUAGCUGGUCAAUCACACUGUAUAAGGCUGAUUUUAAAAAAAUGUAGCACACUUGGGUGAGGUUUGUUAGAAAAACUCCCACAGCAGAACUGAAUUCCUUCUUCGUGAGUGCCUCCUCAUCAGUUAUGUAAUGAAGCAAAAAGGAAGACUUUUCUUACCUUGUUUUGCUCAGAUGUGUACUGUAUUUUUAGAGUAUCCAUAGCUCUGAUCAUAGCUUGUACGGCAGUAAAUAUGUUUUGAUAAACCA
Chelonia mydas (Green sea turtle) is the source of this 1894-nucleotide long non-coding RNA. RefSeq lists it as uncharacterized. The transcript is spliced from 5 exons. The record is from RefSeq and is a predicted model, not a curated record. Lineage: Eukaryota; Metazoa; Chordata; Testudines; Cheloniidae.